Molecule: unclassified non-coding RNA, 306 nt
Filed under: air metagenome
Description: partial contains small subunit ribosomal RNA, internal transcribed spacer 1, and 5.8S ribosomal RNA
Rfam family: Eukaryotic small subunit ribosomal RNA (bases 1-46)
Source: RNAcentral
AAGUCGUAACAAGGUUUCCGUAGGUGAACCUGCGGAAGGAUCAUUAUUGAAUAAACCUGAUGUGGUUGUAGCUGGCCUUUCUGGCAUGUGCUCGCCCGUCAUCUUUAUCUUUCCACCUGUGCACAUUUUGUAGACUUGGAUGUAACACUUUCUGAGGAAACUCAGUCGAGAGGAUUGCUUCAUUAGCUUUCCUUGCACGUCCAAGUCUAUGUUUUUACAUACCCCAAAGAAUGUAACAGAAUGUAUUAUUGGGCCUUGUGGCCUAUAAACUAUAUACAACUUUCAGCAACGGAUCUCUUGGCUCUC